Molecule: small nuclear RNA, 22 nt
Filed under: Arabidopsis thaliana (thale cress)
Lineage: Eukaryota; Viridiplantae; Streptophyta; Magnoliopsida; Brassicales; Brassicaceae
Description: snRNA_18829
Source: RNAcentral
AGAGUUUUAAAAGGAUUUACAA